This 402-nucleotide ribosomal RNA is filed under the name uncultured bacterium. Its description in RNAcentral is "bacterial SSU rRNA". It matches the Rfam family "Bacterial small subunit ribosomal RNA", at positions 355 to 774 of the family's 1533-position model. The record is from RNAcentral.
UAGGGAAUAUUGGUAAUGUGCGAAAGCGCGAACCAGCAACGCCGCGUGCACGAUGAAGGCCUUCGGGUCGUAAAGUGCUUUUAGAGAGGAUGAGGAAGGACAGUACUUUCUGAAUAAGCCUCGGCUAACUACGUGCCAGCAGCCGCGGUAAAACGUAGGAGGCUAGCGUUAUCCGGAUUUACUGGGCGUAAAGCGCAUGCAGGUGGUUUUGUAAGUUGGAUGUGAAAGCUCCUGGCUUAACUGGGAGAGGUCGUUCAAAACUACAAGACUUGAGAUUGGUAGAGGAAAAUGGAAUUCCGGGUGUAGUGGUGAAAUGCGUAGAUAUCCAGAGGAACACCAGUGGCGAAAGCGGUUUUCUGGACCAAUUCUGACACUCAGAUGCGAAAGCUAAGGUAGCAAACG